This 222-nucleotide unclassified non-coding RNA is filed under the name rhizosphere metagenome. RNAcentral's name for it is "partial ribosomal RNA internal transcribed spacer region". The record is from RNAcentral.
GUAGGUGAACCUGCGGAAGGAUCAUUACAGAGUUCAUGCCCUUCGGGGUAGAUCUCCCACCCGUGUGUAUCAUUAUCGACUGUUGCUUUGGCGGGCCGCGUGCCUCGCACGCCUGGACCUCGGUCCGGCGCGCCCGCCAGAGGACCCCCAAACUCUGAAUGUUAGUGUCGUCUGAGUACUAUUAAAUAGUUAAAACUUUCAACAACGGAUCUCUUGGUUCUG